CUGGCCGUAAACGAUGGGUACUAGGUGUAGGAGGUAUCGACCCCUUCUGUGCCGGAGUUAACGCAAUAAGUACCCCGCCUGGGGAGUACGACCGCAAGGUUGAAACUCAAAGGAAUUGACGGGGGCCCGCACAAGCGGUGGAGUAUGUGGUUUAAUUCGACGCAACGCGAAGAACCUUACCAGGUCUUGACAUUGAUGGACAGAACUAGAGAUAGUUCCUCUUCUUCGGAAGCCAGAAAACAGGUGG
Molecule: ribosomal RNA, 247 nt
Filed under: uncultured Veillonella sp.
Lineage: Bacteria; Bacillati; Bacillota; Negativicutes; Veillonellales; Veillonellaceae
Description: partial 16S ribosomal RNA
Rfam family: Bacterial small subunit ribosomal RNA
Source: RNAcentral